This 253-nucleotide ribosomal RNA is filed under the name uncultured bacterium. RNAcentral's name for it is "partial 16S ribosomal RNA". It matches the Rfam family "Bacterial small subunit ribosomal RNA", at positions 524 to 776 of the family's 1533-position model. The record is from RNAcentral.
GACGGGGGAUGCAAGUGUUAUCCGGAAUCACUGGGCGUAAAGCGUCUGCAGGUGGUUUCCUAAGUCCACUGUUAAACCUUGAGGCUCAACCUCAAAUCUGCAUUGGAAACUAGGAGACUUGAGUAUAGUAGGGGUAGAGGGAAUUUCCAGUGGAGCGGUGAAAUGCGUAGAUGUUGGAAAGAACACCGAUGGCGAAGGCACUCUACUGGGCUAUUACUGACACUCAGAGACGAAAGCUAGGGGAGCAAAUGGG